RNAcentral lists this ribosomal RNA (483 nucleotides) under uncultured bacterium. RNAcentral's name for it is "bacterial SSU rRNA". It matches the Rfam family "Bacterial small subunit ribosomal RNA", at positions 28 to 526 of the family's 1533-position model. The record is from RNAcentral.
GACGAACGCUGGCGGCGUGCUUAACACAUGCAAGUCGAGCGGAAAGGCCCUUCGGGGUACUCGAGCGGCGAACGGGUGAGUAACACGUGGGUAACCUGCCCCUUGCUCUGGGAUAACUCCGGGAAACCGGGGCUAAUACCGGAUAUGACACUCGCAGGCAUCUGCUGGGUGUGGAAAGUUUUUCGGCGAGGGAUGGACCCGCGGCCUAUCAGCUUGUUGGUGGGGUAAUGGCCUACCAAGGCGGUGACGGGUAGCCGGCCUGAGAGGGCGACCGGCCACACUGGGACUGAGACACGGCCCAGACUCCUACGGGAGGCAGCAGUGGGGAAUAUUGCGCAAUGGGCGAAAGCCUGACGCAGCGACGCCGCGUGAGGGAUGACGGCCUUCGGGUUGUAAACCUCUUUCAGCAGGGACGAAGCGCAAGUGACGGUACCUGCAGAAGAAGCACCGGCCAACUACGUGCCAGCAGCCGCCGAGUAAAAC